CCUACGGGAGGCAGCAGUGGGGAAUAUUGCACAAUGGGGGGAACCCUGAUGCAGCAAUGCCGCGUGGGUGAAGAAGCACUCCGGUGCGUAAAGCCCUGUCAGCAGGGAAGAAAAUGACAGUACCUGGACAAGAAGCCCCGGCUAACUACGUGCCAGCAGCCGCGGUAAUACGUAGGGGGCAAGCGUUAUCCGGAUUUACUGGGUGUAAAGGGAGCGCAGGCGGCGUGGCAAGUCAGAUGUGAAAACCCGGGGCCCAACCCCGGGAGUGCAUUUGAAACUGCCAUGCUGGAGUGCCGGAGAAGUAUGCGGAAUGCGCGGUGUAGCGGUGAAAUGCAUAGAUAUCGCGCAGAACUCCGAUUGCGAAGGCAGCAUGCCGGCUCCACACUGACGCUGAGGCACGAAAGCGUGGGUAUCGAACAGGAUUAGAUACCCCGGUAGUC
RNAcentral lists this ribosomal RNA (440 nucleotides) under uncultured bacterium. RNAcentral's name for it is "partial 16S ribosomal RNA". It matches the Rfam family "Bacterial small subunit ribosomal RNA", at positions 338 to 795 of the family's 1533-position model. The record is from RNAcentral.